GCGCGCCGGGAAUGUUUCUUUCGGCAGAUAUUAUAUAUUUGGUUAAGGGGGUGCAUUUCUGUUGUUUAAAAGGGAGGGAAAAGGGGGUGGAUGGUUUGUUCUUGGGGUCCCUGGUGCAAUCUCAGCUCCUCAUGGGUGCUAUUUUGCAACCUCAGGCGCCUGCUAUUGGUCAGCCCAUGAUCAGAUGGUUGUAUUUCCUUGUGUCCCUCGCUGGCACCACGCCAUCUCCCUUCAGCUAAAACCCAAUCUCCGAUAUACUACUAAUAGCUAAACCACUUGGACUAUAAAACACAACAAAUCAUAAAGCCGGGAAAGGACGGCAGGCUCCUUCCAAUGAGUUCUUAUUUUGUCAACUCGACCUUCCCGGUGAGUCUGGCGGCGGGGCAGGAGCCCUUCCUGGGACAGAUCCCGCUAUAUCCCUCGGGCUAUGCGGAUCCUUUGAGGCACUACCCCACCACCUAUGGAGCCACGGGCGUCCAGGAGAAGGGCUAUACCUCUUCUCCUUACUACCAGCAAAGCAACGGAGCCUACAGCCGCAGCUCCGCCUGUGACUAUGGGGCCGGCGGGUUUUUCAGGGAGAAGGACCCUGCGUGCGCCCCCCCCAACCUGGACGAGGUGCCCUUCGCCCCCGAGCCGCGCAAGUCGGACUGCGCGCAGAGCAAAACUGUGUUCGGAGAGAGCGAGGAGCAAAAGUGUUCCGCCCCGGUUUACCCCUGGAUGCAGCGGAUGAACUCUUGCAAUAGUGAGUUUACUCUUUUACAGAAAUAAAUACAUCAAUCUCCUCCCCCCCUUUCUUAUUUGUUACCGCCAGAGAGAGAGAGAGCGAGCGAGCGAGGGAAGCAGGAAUAAGGUUCACUUUAGAGCCUAAACUUCCAGCGGGGAAGUUAGGCGACACGAGAGGCUCCGACUUGCUCCUGACACGCACCAAAACUUCACGCCGCUGAAGUAUUUUCUCCCAG
This is a non-coding RNA of Balearica regulorum gibbericeps (East African grey crowned-crane), 959 nucleotides long. NCBI's taxonomy places the organism in Eukaryota, Metazoa, Chordata, Aves, Gruiformes, Gruidae. The record is from RefSeq and is a predicted model, not a curated record.